CAUCCCACCAUCCCACCAUCUAUCUGAGCAAUUCACAGUGGUUAAUAAAUUCGAAUGCUGCUGCACUGCCGAUUGGCCGCUACAGCGCCCCGUAGUUGAUGACGUCACCCGCCUAACGCUUGACGUUAUCCGUAUCCGAUGAGAUGAAGUCAAGUUUCGCGCCGGAAGAUAACGGCUGGGAGUAAAAAUUGCGAUUUCAGCAUUGGAGAUCCUCUAAGUCCUACUUAUCACCAAUCAAUUACCUCAAAUGAAAAGUUACCUCGCCAUUAUUGCUCAAAAGACUGGAAGGAGUCCUGUUGAGGAUUUAGAUUCCUCCUCUUUU
This is a non-coding RNA of Pimephales promelas (fathead minnow), 322 nucleotides long. The record is from RefSeq and is a predicted model, not a curated record. Lineage: Eukaryota; Metazoa; Chordata; Actinopteri; Cypriniformes; Leuciscidae.